GACGAACGCUGGCGGCGUGCCUAAUACAUGCAAGUUGAGCGCUGAAGGUUGGUACUUGUCCCAACUGGAUGAGCAGCGAACGGGUGAGUAACGCGUGGGGAAUCUGCCUUUGAGCGGGGGACAACAUUUGGAGUCGAAUGCUAAUACCGCAUAAAAACUUUAAACACAAGUUUUAAGUUUGAAAGAUGCAAUUGCAUCACUCAAAGAUGAUCCCGCGUUGUAUUAGCUAGUUGGUGAGGUAAAGGCUCACCAAGGCGAUGAUACAUAGCCGACCUGAGAGGGUGAUCGGCCACAUUGGGACUGAGACACGGCCCAAACUACUACGGGAGGCAGCAGUAGGGAAUCUUCGGCAAUGGACGAAAGUCUGACCGAGCAACGCCGCGUGAGUGAAGAAGGUUUACGGAUCGUAAAACUCUGUUGGUAGAGAAGAACGUUGGUGAGAGUGGAAAGCUCAUCAAGUGACGGUAACUACCCAGAAAGGGACGGCUAACUACGUG
This 497-nucleotide ribosomal RNA is filed under the name uncultured bacterium. Its description in RNAcentral is "partial 16S ribosomal RNA". It matches the Rfam family "Bacterial small subunit ribosomal RNA", at positions 28 to 507 of the family's 1533-position model. The record is from RNAcentral.